Gallus gallus (chicken) is the source of this 759-nucleotide long non-coding RNA. The record is from Ensembl. NCBI's taxonomy places the organism in Eukaryota, Metazoa, Chordata, Aves, Galliformes, Phasianidae.
GUCUUUUGCUGGUGAUUCCUAUGUGCCUGAGGUCUUCCCAAGCAUUACAACUGGUCGGGAUCCCACAUCAAAUGAAAAUGAAGAAAGUUAUUGUGAUCACUGUCAUAAAGUGCUGUAAAACUGGUGCAAGUGGGAUGAGAAUCAGCCUGGCCAUGUUAGCAACUUUUUGACAUCUGUGUAAAUCUGCUGAUUUCCACGGAGUUACCUAUGGCAACUAAAGAUAGGAGGAGAAAACAUUGGCUGGAGAACCAGGAAAUGAAAAGCCUUAGGAUAAAGAGCAAAACAGAUCAAUCCAGGAGAAGUCAAACUCCCUGUUUCCUAGACUGGCUCAGUGUGGCAGCAGUUUCAGUUGUGUCUCCGUUAUACACAAGCAGACUCAACAACAACAUGCCCUGCCACUGGGGGAACAAAUUCCUGAUGUUGCCAAAUGAGUCCUAAGGAAGCAGGGAACAAGGAAAGGUAGGGAGUGCUGAAUCAAACAAGAUUAAUAUGUGUUUGUUCUAAGUGAAAUAGUUGCUAUUCUCGGUGAAAUACUAGUCCACCACUUGUGAGAGAAAGGUAAACAGUUUGUCCUGGUUUAAAUUGUUGCAGUCACUGGGGCACUGAGUGACAGCAAAAUGUGGUUUGUUGUUGUCCUGUUCAUUUACUUGUGAGAACACACUGACCUGAGUCCCUGUUCUGCCAGGCUCUGCCUGAUAGAAGCAAGAGAGACAAGCUCCAGCCUGAAUCAAUCAAUAAAUGGAGGUGGUAUCUCCUGAG